GAUGAACGCUGGCGGCGUGCCUAAUACAUGCAAGUCGAGCGAACAGACGAGGAGCUUGCUCCUCUGACGUUAGCGGCGGACGGGUGAGUAACACGUGGAUAACCUACCUAUAAGACUGGGAUAACUUCGGGAAACCGGAGCUAAUACCGGAUAAUAUAUUGAACCGCAUGGUUCAAUAGUGCAAGACGGUUUUUCUGUUACUUAUAGAUGGAUCCGCGCCGCAUUAGCUAGUUGGUAAGGUAACGGCUUACCAAGUCAACGAUGCUUAACCGACCCGUGAGAGUGUACGCCCACACUGUAUCUUAGAGAGGGCCCAGACCCCUACGGGAGGGAGCAGUAGGGAUUCUUCCGCAAUGGUCGAAAGCCUGACGUAGCAACGCCGCUUGAGUGAUGAAGUUCUUCGGAUCGUAAAACUCUGUUAUUAGGGAAGAACAAAUGUGUAAGUAACUAUGCACGUCUUGACGGUACCUAAUCAGAAAGCCACGGCUAACUACGUG
RNAcentral lists this ribosomal RNA (497 nucleotides) under uncultured bacterium. Its description in RNAcentral is "partial 16S ribosomal RNA". It matches the Rfam family "Bacterial small subunit ribosomal RNA", at positions 28 to 507 of the family's 1533-position model. The record is from RNAcentral.